RNAcentral lists this ribosomal RNA (561 nucleotides) under Nakaseomyces glabratus. RNAcentral describes it as "eukaryotic LSU rRNA". It matches the Rfam family "Eukaryotic large subunit ribosomal RNA", at positions 90 to 656 of the family's 3401-position model. The record is from RNAcentral. Lineage: Eukaryota; Fungi; Ascomycota; Saccharomycetes; Saccharomycetales; Saccharomycetaceae.
CGAGUGAAGCGGCAAAAGCUCAAAUUUGAAAUCUGGUACCUUUGGUGCCCGAGUUGUAAUUUGGAGAGUACCACUUUGGGACUGUACUUUGCCUAUGUUCCUUGGAACAGGACGUCAUGGAGGGUGAGAAUCCCGUGUGGCGAGGGUGUCAGUUCUUUGUAAAGGGUGCUCGAAGAGUCGAGUUGUUUGGGAAUGCAGCUCUAAGUGGGUGGUAAAUUCCAUCUAAAGCUAAAUACAGGCGAGAGACCGAUAGCGAACAAGUACAGUGAUGGAAAGAUGAAAAGAACUUUGAAAAGAGAGUGAAAAAGUACGUGAAAUUGUUGAAAGGGAAGGGCAUUUGAUCAGACAUGGUGUUUUGCGCCCCUUGCCUCUCGUGGGCUUGGGACUCUCGCAGCUCACUGGGCCAGCAUCGGUUUUGGCGGCCGGAAAAAACCUAGGGAAUGUGGCUCUGCGCCUCGGUGUAGAGUGUUAUAGCCCUGGGGAAUACGGCCAGCCGGGACCGAGGACUGCGAUACUUGUUAUCUAGGAUGCUGGCAUAAUGGUUAUAUGCCGCCCGUCUUG